RNAcentral lists this ribosomal RNA (467 nucleotides) under uncultured bacterium. Its description in RNAcentral is "partial 16S ribosomal RNA". It matches the Rfam family "Bacterial small subunit ribosomal RNA", at positions 28 to 506 of the family's 1533-position model. The record is from RNAcentral.
GACGAACGCUGGCGGCGUGCUUAGCACAUGCAAGUCGAACGGAAAGGCCCUGCUUUUGUGGGGUGCUCGAGUGGCGAACGGGUGAGUAACACGUGAGUAACCUGCCCUUGACUUUGGGAUAACUUCAGGAAACUGGGGCUAAUACCGGAUAGGAGCUCCUGCUGCAUGGUGGGGGUUGGAAAGUUUCGGCGGUUGGGGAUGGACUCGCGGCUUAUCAGCUUGUUGGUGGGGUAGUGGCUUACCAAGGCUUUGACGGGUAGCCGGCCUGAGAGGGUGACCGGCCGCAUUGGGACUGAGGUGCGGCCCAGACUCCUACGGGAGGCAGCAGUGGGGAAUAUUGCACAAGGGGCGGAAGCCUGAUGCAGCAACGCCGCGUGCGGGAUGACGGCCUUCGGGUUGUAAACCGCUUUCGCCUGUGACGACGCGUGAGUGACGGUAAUGGGUAAAGAAGCACCGGCUAACUACGU